GGGAAUCUUGCACAAUGGGGGCAACCCUGAUGCAGCGACGCCGCGUGAGCGAUGAAGCGCUUCGGGGCGUAAAGCUCUUUCGACCGGAACGAUAAUGACGGUACCGGGAGAAGAAGCUGCGGCUAACUACGUGCCAGCAGCCGCGGUAAUACGUAGGCAGCAAGCGUUGUUCGGAGUUACUGGGCGUAAAGAGUGCGUAGGCGGUUUUCUAAGUUCGGUGUGAAAUCUCCCGGCUUAACUGGGAGGGUGCGCCGAAGACUGGGAAGCUGGAGUGUGGGAAAGGCAGGCGGAAUUCCUGGUGUAGCGGUGAAAUGCGUAGACAUCAGGAGGAACACCGGCGGUGUAGACGGCUUGCUAGACCAUAACUGACGCUGAGGCACGAAAGCGUGGGUAGCAAACA
This 400-nucleotide ribosomal RNA is filed under the name uncultured bacterium. Its description in RNAcentral is "bacterial SSU rRNA". It matches the Rfam family "Bacterial small subunit ribosomal RNA", at positions 357 to 774 of the family's 1533-position model. The record is from RNAcentral.